CCUACGGGACGCAGCAGUGGGGAAUAUUGGGCAAUGGGCGCAAGCCUGACCCAGCAACGCCGCGUGAAGGAAGAAGGCUUUCGGGUUGUAAACUUCUUUUAAGAGGGAAGAGCAGAAGACGGUACCUCUUGAAUAAGCCACGGCUAACUACGUGCCAGCAGCCGCGGUAAUACGUAGGUGGCAAGCGUUGUCCGGAUUUACUGGGUGUAAAGGGCGUGUAGCCGGGCUGACAAGUCAGAUGUGAAAUUCCGGGGCUCAACCCCGGACCUGCAUUUGAAACUGUUGGUCUUGAGUAUCGGAGAGGC
RNAcentral lists this ribosomal RNA (305 nucleotides) under uncultured bacterium. Its description in RNAcentral is "bacterial SSU rRNA". It matches the Rfam family "Bacterial small subunit ribosomal RNA", at positions 338 to 658 of the family's 1533-position model. The record is from RNAcentral.